CCGAGCCCGGGCCCAGCGCCGCCUGCAGCCUCGGGAAGGGAGCGGAUAGCGGAGCCCCGAGCCGCCCGCAGAGCAAGCGCGGGGAACCAAGGAGACGCUCCUGGCACUGCAGUGUAACUACCAAGCUCACUUUCAUAUACCUCCUGAGACACAGCUGGUCUUAGUGAAUUUAUAUCCUCUAUGUCCAAAGUAAGUCAAAAUAACUUGUCUGCAUUUCAAGAACAACCUACCAGAGACCUUACCUGUCACCUUGGCUCUCCCACCCAAUGGAGAUGGCUCUAAUGGUGGCACAAACCAGGAAGGGGAAAUCUGUGGUUUAAAUUCUUUAUGCCUCAUCCUCUGAGUGCUGAAGGCUUGCUGUAGGCUGUAUGCUGUUAAUGCUAAUCGUGAUAGGGGUUUUUGCCUCCAACUGACUCCUACAUAUUAGCAUUAACAGUGUAUGAUGCCUGUUACUAGCAUUCACAUGGAACAAAUUGCUGCCGUGGGAGGAUGACAAAGAAGCAUGAGUCACCCUGCUGGAUAAACUUAGACUUCAGGCUUUAUCAUUUUUCAAUCUGUUAAUCAUAAUCUGGUCACUGGGAUGUUCAACCUUAAACUAAGUUUUGAAAGUAAGGUUAUUUAAAAGAUUUAUCAGUAGUAUCCUAAAUGCAAACAUUUUCAUUUAAAUGUCAAGCCCAUGUUUGUUUUUAUCAUUAACAGAAAAUAUAUUCAUGUCAUUCUUAAUUGCAGGUUUUGGCUUGUUCAUUAUAAUGUUCAUAAACACCUUUGAUUCAACUGUUAGAAAUGUGGGCUAAACACAAAUUUCUAUAAUAUUUUUGUAGUUAAAAAUUAGAAGGACUACUAACCUCCAGUUAUAUCAUGGAUUGUCUGGCAACGUUUUUUAAAAGAUUUAGAAACUGGUACUUUCCCCCAGGUAACGAUUUUCUGUUCAGGCAACUUCAGUUUAAAAUUAAUACUUUUAUUUGACUCUUAAAGGGAAACUGAAAGGCUAUGAAGCUGAAUUUUUUUAAUGAAAUAUUUUUAACAGUUAGCAGGGUAAAUAACAUCUGACAGCUAAUGAGAUAUUUUUUCCAUACAAGAUAAAAAGAUUUAAUCAAAAAAUUUCAUAUUUGAAAUGAAGUCCCAAAUCUAGGUUCAAGUUCAAUAGCUUAGCCACAUAAUACGGUUGUGCGAGCAGAGAAUCUACCUUUCCACUUCUAAGCCUGUUUCUUCCUCCAUAUGGGGAUAAUACUUUACAAGGUUGUUGUGAGGCUUAGAUGAGAUAGAGAAUUAUUCCAUAAGAUAAUCAAGUGCUACAUUAAUGUUAUAGUUAGAUUAAUCCAAGAACUAGUCACCCUACUUUAUUAGAGAAGAGAAAAGCUAAUGAUUUGAUUUGCAGAAUAUUUAAGGUUUGGAUUUCUAUGCAGUUUUUCUAAAUAACCAUCACUUACAAAUAUGUAACCAAACGUAAUUGUUAGUAUAUUUAAUGUAAACUUGUUUUAACAACUCUUCUCAACAUUUUGUCCAGGUUAUUCACUGUAACCAAAUAAAUCUCAUGAGUCUUUAGU
Molecule: long non-coding RNA, 1547 nt
Filed under: Homo sapiens (human)
Lineage: Eukaryota; Metazoa; Chordata; Mammalia; Primates; Hominidae
Description: HSALNT0403515
Rfam family: mir-155 microRNA precursor family (bases 372-436)
Source: RNAcentral